This 461-nucleotide ribosomal RNA is filed under the name uncultured bacterium. RNAcentral's name for it is "bacterial SSU rRNA". It matches the Rfam family "Bacterial small subunit ribosomal RNA", at positions 28 to 507 of the family's 1533-position model. The record is from RNAcentral.
GAUGAACGUUGGCGGCGUGCCUAAUACAUGCAAGUCGAACGAAGACUGUAGUAAUACUGUCUUAGUGGCGAACGGGGUGAGUAACGCGUGGGUGACCUGCCCCGAAGUGUGGGAUAACAGUCCGAAAGGAUUGCUAAUACUGCAUAAUAUCCAAGAGAUUAGAUGCUUUUGGAUUAAAGGAGUAAUUCGCUUCGGGAGGGGCCCGCGUCCCAUCAGCUAGUUGGUAAGGUAAUGGCUUACCAAGGCGAUGACGGGUAGGGGACCUGAGAGGGUGGCCCCCCACAAUGGAACUGAAACACGGUCCAUACACCUACGGGUGGCAGCAGUAGGGAAUAUUAGUAAUGGGCGAAAGCCUGAACUAGCAACGCCGCGUGUGCGAAGAAGGCCUUCGGGUCGUAAAGCACUUUUUGCAGGGAAGAGGAAGGACGGUACCUGCAGAAUAAGUCUCGGCUAACUACGUG